Molecule: ribosomal RNA, 492 nt
Filed under: uncultured bacterium
Lineage: Bacteria
Description: partial 16S ribosomal RNA
Rfam family: Bacterial small subunit ribosomal RNA
Source: RNAcentral
AGUGAACGCUGGCGGUAGGCCUAACACAUGCAAGUCGAACGGCAGCACAGUAAGAGCUUGCUCUUACGGGUGGCGAGUGGCGGACGGGUGAGGAAUACAUCGGAAUCUACUUUUUCGUGGGGGAUAACGUAGGGAAACUUACGCUAAUACCGCAUACGACCUACGGGUGAAAGCAGGGGAUCUUCGGACCUUGCGCGAUUGAAUGAGCCGAUGUCGGAUUAGCUAGUUGGCGGGGUAACGGCCCACCAAGGCGACGAUCCGUAGCUGGUCUGAGAGGAUGAUCAGCCACACUGGAACUGAGACACGGUCCAGACUCCUACGGGAGGCAGCAGUGGGGAAUAUUGGACAAUGGGCGCAAGCCUGAUCCAGCCAUACCGCGUGAGUGAAGAAGGCCUUCGGGUUGUAAAGCCCUGUUGUUGGGAAAGAAAAGCAGCAGGUUAAUACCCCGCUGUUCUGACGGUACCCAAAGAAUAAGCACCGGCUAACUUCGUG